RNAcentral lists this long non-coding RNA (1320 nucleotides) under Olea europaea subsp. europaea. Lineage: Eukaryota; Viridiplantae; Streptophyta; Magnoliopsida; Lamiales; Oleaceae. The record is from RNAcentral.
GUGCCAUUCUCCACAACUUAUCCUUGCAGCAUUUUCACCUCAUAAAGUUGUAACCUUUUACUUUGAAAUGCUCUAGCAUUGGUAUAUUUUUCCUAAUAGUUUCACUUAUCCAUCUCUUUCCAGUGCUUGUGCGAAGAUGGGUUGUUUGAGCUUGGGUCAGAAGUGUCACGGGCAAGCUCUGAUACAUGGUGUUGAUGGAGUUUUUCGGUAAAGAACUCUUUGAUUCAUUUUUAUGCUUGUUAUGGUCUCAUGGAAAUUGCUGAGAAAUUCUAUGAUAACAUGCCUGUGAGGGACUUGUUGUCCUGAAAUACAAUUGUAGAUAGGUUUGCUAAGGUUAGCAAGAUGGGUCGAGGGCAUCACUUGUUUGAUGCAAUGCCUGAGAGGAAUUUGGUUUCUUGGAAUGUUAUGAUCAAAGGUUAUUUGAAUUUCAGAAAUCCCAAAAAUGCAUUGAAAUUGUUUCGACAAAUGGUAAGGAUGAGAUUUAACUGCAAUGGUAUGAUGAUGUUAAGCGAGCGUGCUUACUGCUUGUGGGAAGUCUAUUAGACUACCGGAAGGAUAAUCAAUUCAUGGGUUUCUUGUCAUGGUGUUUUUGAAUUUGAGUUUGAUCAUAGAUAUUUAUAGUAAAUGUGGAAUGGUGAAUGUAGCGCAUGUAAUUUUUGAUAGGAUGUUGAUCAAGAACAUGAUGUGUUGGAAUGCAAUGGUAUUGGAGGACUGAAUUCAUGGGAAUCCAAAUGAUUGGCUUAGUUUGUAUACAGAAAUGGUAGACAAAACAAGGGCACCAGGGGAUUCAAAUAAAAAUAUCGACAAGGAUGUAAAUUUAAAUUAGCAUCAUAAAAUUCUCACAGAUGAAUUUACCUUUAUUUGCAUUUUAUGUGCCUGUACCCGAAAAGGUUUGUUGGUAGGGGGAGAAAGUGGUUGACGUGUUUCACGUGAAGCACAAUUUUGCACAUUACUGGUGCAUGGUUAAUCUUAUGGCCAAUGUUGGUCUAGUGCAAGCGGCCAUGGAUAUCUUAAGGAACAUAUCGAUUGACAAUGAUAAGUCUCAAGAAACCUCAUUUUGGUCAGGAACUCUUGGCUCAUCUCAUUUUCAAGGGGAUCUUAUUUCUAAAAAAAAAUUAAUUGAGCAAGAUCCUCAUAAUUUUUCAUACUACAUGUUGCUAGUUAAAGUUUAUGUUGUAGCAUUAAAUGGGAAGAAGUUUCUACGACGCGAGAUAUGAUGAAGGAGGUAGGAAUUAGAAGAGUUCCAAGUUGUAAUCUUGAGGAUUUAACGGACAUAAUCAAAUGCCAUUAAAUUGGGAGAUAGUUAUCAACAGGUUACAC